This 776-nucleotide ribosomal RNA is filed under the name Aeromonas sp. Its description in RNAcentral is "partial 16S ribosomal RNA". It matches the Rfam family "Bacterial small subunit ribosomal RNA", at positions 85 to 852 of the family's 1533-position model. Lineage: Bacteria; Pseudomonadati; Pseudomonadota; Gammaproteobacteria; Aeromonadales; Aeromonadaceae. The record is from RNAcentral.
GCCGGCGUANCGGUCGGACGGGUGCANUAAUGCCUGGGGAUCNGCCCAGUNCNAGGNGNAUNACNUAUUGGAAACGACUGCAUAAUACCGCAUACNCCCNUACGGGGGAAAGGAGNGGACCUUCGGGCCUUUCGCGAUUGUAAUGAACCCAGGUGGGAUUACCUAGUUGGNGGGGUAAUGNNUCACCAUGGCGACGAUCCCUAGCUGNUCUGANAGGAUGAUCAGCCACACUGGAACUGAAACNCGGNCCAGACUCCUACGGGAGUAAGCAGUGGGGAAUAUUGCACAAUGGGGGAAACCCUGAUGCAGCCAUGCCGCGUGUGUGAAGAAGGCCUUCGGGUUGUAAAGCACUUUCAGCGAGGAGGAAAGGUUGGCGCCUAAUACGUGUCAACUGUGACGUUACUCGCAGAAGAAGCACCGGCUAACUCCGUGCCAGCAGCCGCGGUAAUACGGAGGGUGCAAGCGUUAAUCGGAAUUACUGGGCGUAAAGCGCACGCAGGCGGUUGGAUAAGUUAGAUGUGAAAGCCCCGGGCUCAACCUGGGAAUUGCAUUUAAAACUGUCCAGCUAGAGUCUUGUAGAGGGGGGUAGAAUUCCAGGUGUAGCGGUGAAAUGCGUAAAGAUCUGGAGGAAUACCGGUGGCGAAGGCGGCCCCCUGGACAAAGACUGACGCUCAGGUGCGAAAGCGUGGGGAGCAAACAGGAUUANAUACCCUGGUAGUCCACGCCGUAACGAUGUCGAUUUGGANGCUGUGUCCUNGAAACGUGGCUUCCGGANC